Non-coding RNA from Shewanella baltica OS185, 82 nucleotides. The record is from Rfam. NCBI's taxonomy places the organism in Bacteria, Pseudomonadati, Pseudomonadota, Gammaproteobacteria, Alteromonadales, Shewanellaceae.
GCAUUGGCAAAAUCCAGUGCCGGGAUUGAGACCCCGCAAUAUCACAGGCGCAAUCAUGUCGCCAGCCUAGUGCUGGUUUUUU